This 202-nucleotide unclassified non-coding RNA is filed under the name Hevea brasiliensis (rubber tree). Lineage: Eukaryota; Viridiplantae; Streptophyta; Magnoliopsida; Malpighiales; Euphorbiaceae. The record is from RNAcentral.
GUGGCAUGGAAAAUGUAAAAGCUCUUAACCACAUACCCCAUUAACAUAAUUGUAAGCUUUCCGGCAUCAUACAUAAAACAGCUCCUCGCUAACUCCUAAAAUGAGUGAAAAAGAAGAAUUGACAUUACAAUAUACACUGAAUUGAUUGCAGGGGGGAAGGGGAGAGGGUGUUGUGGCGGGCUAUACUAUAAAUGUUUUUCAC